RNAcentral lists this ribosomal RNA (333 nucleotides) under uncultured eukaryote. RNAcentral describes it as "partial 18S ribosomal RNA". It matches the Rfam family "Eukaryotic small subunit ribosomal RNA", at positions 1470 to 1796 of the family's 1831-position model. The record is from RNAcentral.
CCCUUAGAUGUUCUGGGCUGCACGCGCGCUACACUGAUUCUUUCAGCGAGUCCACCACCUUGCCUGGGAGGGUGGGGUAACCUCUGGAAAGAGCAUCGUGAUGGGGAUCGAUUAUUGUAAUUAUUAAUCUUCAACGAGGAAUUCCUAGUAAGCAUGUGUCAUCAGCCCGUGCUGAUUACGUCCCUGCCCUUUGUACACACCGCCCGUCGCUCCUACCGAUUGAACGGUUUAGUGAGGGCCUCGGAUUGGUCUCGGCCCGCUCUUUACCGGGCGGCGCCGUUGGUCGAGAAGACGCUCGAACUUGAUCGUUUAGAGGAAGUAAAAGUCGUAACA